UGUCUGUCAGUUUGCCGCUGCUGCUCGGCUUCUGCAGUCUGCUUCGGUCGCUCCUCUAGUAAUGGCUUUUAUAUGUAUUAUCUGACUGUUAAAUUCGUAUUUUGAGUGAGUUUGUGUUGUGGGAUGACGACUGAGAACGAAUAAACGCGAAUAUGGACACUUCUACCAGCAGCUAACAGACAAGCAAACUGCAAAAGAGAGGACCUGAACGCAUGAUCCUUGGACUCCUUGGAGAAGAAUACUGUAUGUAAACCAGGAUCAGCUGUGAAGAUUUUGUAUGGAGCUGAAGUUUUGGAAAUGAAAAUCUUCUAUACCACAUGAUCUUUAGAGGAACUAAUCCAGCUGAUUACUGGCAAUUUGGAGGAGGACUGCUCUUUAUCUGCUGUGUCGGUCACUUCUGGCCAUGGACCUUUUGUUGUAUGUUUUGGUUUUACUUAUUACACUAAUAUAGCUAGAUUUCAGAAUUAAAAUACAUAUGUUUGUCUACAUAUAUUAUCAGAGCUACAGUGGUGCCCAAAAUUAUGAUGAGGUCAUGAGUACAUAACAUAAGUUUUAUAU
Onychostoma macrolepis is the source of this 558-nucleotide long non-coding RNA. RefSeq lists it as uncharacterized. The record is from RefSeq and is a predicted model, not a curated record. Lineage: Eukaryota; Metazoa; Chordata; Actinopteri; Cypriniformes; Cyprinidae. The transcript has 4 exons.